UCGGUGGGCCCGCCGUAUGGCCGCCGGGGGGCUUCUGCCCCCGGGCCCGUGCCCGCCGAAGACACCUAGAACUCUGUCUGAAGAUUGUAGUCUGAGUGAAAAUAUAAAUUAUUUAAAACUUUCAACAACGGAUCUCUUGGUUCCGGCAUCGAUGAAGAACGCAGCGAAAUGCGAUACGUAAUGUGAAUUGCAGAAUUCAGUGAAUCAUCGAGUCUUUGAACGCACAUUGCGCCCUCUGGUAUUCCGGAGGGCAUGCCUGUCCGAGCGUCAUUGCUGCCCUCAAGCACGGCUUGUGUGUUGGGCCCCGCCCCCCGAUCCCGGGGGGCGGGCCCGAAAGGCAGCGGCGGCACCGCGUCCGGUCCUCGAGCGUAUGGGGCUUUGUCACCCGCUCUGUAGGCCCGGCCGGCGCUUGCCGAUCAACCAAACUUUUUUCCAGGUUGACCUCGGAUCAGGUAGGGAUACCCGCUGAACUUAAGCAUAUC
This 482-nucleotide ribosomal RNA is filed under the name Penicillium swiecickii. RNAcentral describes it as "eukaryotic LSU rRNA". The stretch from base 117 to 270 matches the Rfam family "5.8S ribosomal RNA". The record is from RNAcentral. Lineage: Eukaryota; Fungi; Ascomycota; Eurotiomycetes; Eurotiales; Aspergillaceae.